RNAcentral lists this long non-coding RNA (274 nucleotides) under Salvator merianae (Argentine black and white tegu). Its description in RNAcentral is "lncRNA (ENSSMRG00000005138.1)". The record is from RNAcentral. Lineage: Eukaryota; Metazoa; Chordata; Lepidosauria; Squamata; Teiidae.
CGUCCGUCUCUUGCGCCCCGAAGGCGGAGGAGGCUUGGCAAGCCGAGGAGGCGCGCCGAGCGAGGCAGGUGGAGAGAGAAGCGAGGCGAGCGGGCAAGUACGGCGGCGGAGGCGCCCGAGUCAGCGUUGGAGGGGAUGAGGGGUGCCGAGCUUGGUUCGCGCUAUCGCAGGGAAGACCAGCGCUGCCUGGCUCUCCCUCCCUCAACUGCUGCAGGCUGGCCUUGCUAAUGAUAGUUAUACCCUGGAUGUCCUGCUCUUUUUGGUGGACCAUUGC